CAAGAGGUCGACGAGCCAGGACUGGGACUGGGACGGCGGCGAAGCGGCACGCCGGCACGCACACCAGACGUACGCCACCUGUCGCGGUGGCCCGUGGCCCUCUCCUCUCUCGCGCGCCAUCACGUCCCGCAGCUGGCGCCUGGCAGCACGCAGUGCAGCCUGGCCCGAACCGAGGCCAGCCGCUCCUUUGAGCGUGCGGCGCGAGUCGCGCGCACAGAUCCACCGGUCAUUCGCUCGAUUUUGUUUUCUUCUUGCUGCUGCUUGUCUAUCUAAUCUAGGCCUUGUUUAGUUCCAAAAUUUUUUGGGAAAUGGACACUGUAGCACUUUCGUUUGUAUGUGACAAAUACUGUCCAAUCAUGGACUAACUAGGCUUAAAAGAUUCAUCUCGUCAAUUCCGACCAAACUGUGUAAUUAAUUUUUAUUUUCAUCUAUAUUUAAUACUCCAUGCAUGCGUCUAAAGAUUCGAUGUGACGGGGAAUCUUAAAAAUUUUGUAAAAUUUUUCAGGAACUAAACAAGGCCCUAAGAGAUCGAGUAUGGAUCUACGAUCUGCGAAAGCGGUGGACGCUGCUGCCAUGCCCAUGCUUCAGUACUGCGACAGGCUGUUGUUGUUGGCUUCGCCAAAAAAAAAAAAGGAAAAAAAAGGAAGAGGAAGUGCAUUUCCACUUUUCCAGCAACGAAAUCAAUCACCAAUGUCAAGCAAACUUAUGUCAUCGAACAUUAGCACGUACGUAGUACCUUGAACCCAAACCUAUGGCACCGAACAGUAGCACGAAGUAGUGCUAUAAACCAGGGAGAUUUGACAUUUGAGCUCUACUUGUUGAGAUCAAACACUAAACAAUGCACGCCGACCACUAAAUCACGUACCACGUACUAAAUAAUUGGUAGCACAGCACCCACAAAAUAGCGGCUGCUAUACUUUUAGCGAUUCUCUACCGAUAUCGCUACAAGAUAGCGGACUAGUAAAGGUAGCGUGUUGAAAUUUAGCAGCCGCUCAUGCACUUAGCGUCCGUGUUCGUUUUUCUUAUCGGUUAUUUUUUCUCGCAAUAAAUCAGUCAGUUAAUAAUAAUUUUAGCAACAAGUAAUAGCGUGGAUAAUUCCAACAACAACAAAAAAAGAUAGUGACGUAGAUGAUGAUAAAGAAUGAUGGGAUGAUAAUAUUUUUUUCAAUGAUAUAAGAACUUAAUGAUAUUUUGUCUCCACGUAAUUUCUUUACAUUAUUUUUUAUAUGCUUGCUUGUGAUUCUAUGACAUUAAAUUUAGUAACUAGGGCCCUGUUUAGUUC
This 1282-nucleotide long non-coding RNA is filed under the name Sorghum bicolor (sorghum). RNAcentral's name for it is "long non-coding RNA (SBIC_LNC001736)". Lineage: Eukaryota; Viridiplantae; Streptophyta; Magnoliopsida; Poales; Poaceae. The record is from RNAcentral.